GGAGAAUCCAUUCGAGAAAGCCAAGCUAGAUUCCAAGUCACUCUCAACAGUCUUGAAAGACUUGGCAAAAAGAUUCCUCAAUCGGAAAUCAACAUGAAUAUUCUAAAUGCCGUUCCAUUCGAAUAUGGUGCCAAGGUCACAGCAUUGGAGUCAGCUCUCAACAUUGAUACUAUGGAUCACCUGGCUAUAUUUGCUGAGUUGGAACAAUUUG
This 211-nucleotide long non-coding RNA is filed under the name Daucus carota (carrot). RNAcentral's name for it is "long non-coding RNA (DCAR_LNC001470)". The record is from RNAcentral. Lineage: Eukaryota; Viridiplantae; Streptophyta; Magnoliopsida; Apiales; Apiaceae.